Long non-coding RNA from Lemur catta (Ring-tailed lemur), 368 nucleotides. RefSeq lists it as uncharacterized. The transcript is spliced from 3 exons. NCBI's taxonomy places the organism in Eukaryota, Metazoa, Chordata, Mammalia, Primates, Lemuridae. The record is from RefSeq and is a predicted model, not a curated record.
UUUACACUUGAGAACCGUCCCAGAGCUGGCAGGCAAGGGGUUGUGUUGCUGCUGGCCCCGCUGGCGUGAGUUUGGUGUCUCUAUUUACCUUUUUGUGGCUGUCAGGAUAUUUUUCUGAGCUACGCAGCAAGAUCUGUGUGUCAGAUAACCCCUCCAUGGGCAACACAGGACCCUGUAUGGAACUCCUGUUUGGAACCCAACACGAGAGUCUGAGGAAAGCUGAGGCUUCAGGCUCUGGCCAGAUGUUCCCACAUCCAAAAGGAGAUGCUGAGCUAUUCGGGACCUUUACCCAAAUGUCCUCGUCUGCCUUCGUGAGCCCCUCCCUCCUGCUCCCACGGCCACCCCACCCUCAGGCAGCCACUGAGCCA